UUUUAGUUAAGUUAAUUUAAACUAUUGAUUUGUGGGAUCAAAAAUAUAUAGAAUAAUACUAAAAA
This 65-nucleotide transfer RNA is filed under the name Paratetraonchoides inermis. RNAcentral's name for it is "tRNA-His". Lineage: Eukaryota; Metazoa; Platyhelminthes; Monogenea; Dactylogyridea; Tetraonchoididae. The record is from RNAcentral.